This 1194-nucleotide long non-coding RNA is filed under the name Helianthus annuus (common sunflower). Lineage: Eukaryota; Viridiplantae; Streptophyta; Magnoliopsida; Asterales; Asteraceae. The record is from RNAcentral.
AUGUCACUUAUAAUUAUUUAUAUGUGGCUAAAAGAAAAAUGUGACUAUAACUAUUCUUUGGUCACGGCUUAGUCAUUUUACGUGACCAUCCACCCUCCACCUGCAAUUGGAACCCUAAUCCAUCACCUGCUACGAUAAGUUCAACUUCAUCGCUUAUCCAUUUUUGAGAAAAUUUUGAUAAUAUCCAAUAUCCAUUGUUCAUCAACAUCGGUUGAAGCUUGACUUGGUUUGGGUGUGCCAAGUUACUUUGGUAGCUACUGUUUUAAAUUUCAAGGUUUGUGAAUUUACUAAGUGAUGCAGAUGUGAUUUGUUUUGUCUUGAGGAUUUCGAACUUCAGUAACAUCGCCACGAGAAUACUUUAUUGGUAACAAGAUCAUUUGGUACAGGUACAUUAUUAUCACUCUUUGUGUAUUGUUUUAUGAAAGCCUAACAAUUUUUAUUAGCAACAAAAACCCUGGGUAGCCGGGAUCACCCAGCACACCCGCCUAGAGGAAACCCACAAUCUCCAAAAACUACAACUACAAACAUCUAGUUGGUUUUGCUACUGUUUCAUUGAUGGACAAGAGAGUUGAAGCCAUGUGAGAGUUCGAACCCACCACCAGCCAACUGUUAAAACUCCGGCUCGCUCUUGUCCCUUUUGUGCCUGAAGAUGUUGUUGUCUUUGUUGUUGGUGCCCUCUCCGGUGCUACUGCCAAAAUAAUUAUUGCCCAUCUUGACCGGAUUAAACUUUAUUUCAGCAGUCCAAGGUUUGGGUGAGUUAAAUAUGUUGGGGGAGGGGUAUGAUUAUUGGCAUGAAGUUGCUGCUUAGAAUGAAUAUUUAAGCAUGGGUUCGGUUUGGUUUGGUUUUAGUUUCCAACGGUUCAGUUACGGAAUCAAACCGUAAACACCCCUAGUGGGUAUGGUUAGUUGUAUUUGUUAUAGGUUGGAUGUGCUAAAAGGUUGCUGAUUGGGGUUGCUAUGGGGGAAUAGAGGUCAAGACUACUAGGAAGUUUGAAGAGAAAAUUUAUAUAUUAUAAGUUCGGUUAAUUUUUUUUAUUAUUGUUUCUCUGUUUGGGUGCUUUUAAGAGGUUAAUGAUUCCAUUUCUACCCCUCUUGUAAGGUAAAAAGAAUGUAGCAUAUCGUCCAUUUUUUUAUGAAUGGGUCGUUUGGGUUGUAUUCUUUUCUAACGGGUCAUAUGUAUUCUUUGUGUAGCGU